CAGGGGAGCCUGGCAUGCUACAGUCCACAGGCUUGCAAAGAGUUGGACACGACUGAAUGACUAAACAACAACAAUAAAUUUAUACCUUUAUUUAGUAUUUUGUGUUCUUUUCUUAUGCUUUGGUAAUUUAGGGGUCAGUUUCUUCACUAUACAUUUGGUACUUUCAUAUUUUGUAAAACCAUGUUUACUAUAUACACGAGUUGUGAUCCUCCUUUUCAAACUUAACAUUCAAAUGUGAUUAUUUUUCCCAAGUCAUUAAAUCAUCUCCAAAGUUCAACUUAAACAUCUGUGUGCCAUUCAAAGAGAGGUUACUUAUUCAACCAUCCUCCUAAUGUCAUAUUUUUAGGUUAUUUCUAUUUUUAUUAUGAUCAUGCACCACAGCUGAAUAAACAUCAUAAAUCUUCAUUAAUAAUUCUGAUUAUUAUCUAAAGGUGAAUUUCUAUGAGUAGAAAUCUUGGACCAACAGAACAUUUUAAAGGCUUUUGGUUGGUAUUGCAAAACACUCCUCUCAUGACUCCAAUAUAUAUUUUCAUCUCUCAGAUUUCCACAACAAUGAGAUCAUCAAAUACAAGGCUCCAAGUGGAGAGUUGAUUGAAUUAUCCAGUUUGGAUGACUGUACAGACUAGAUAAAGAAAACAAUUGCCAAAUAUUCAGUACAGUGGAGACAGUGCUUUAGUGGGAAGAGUAAAACAACAAUUUCUUACUAUGUGAGCUCAAUUAUAUUUAUGAUCUUAUUUAAUCUUACCAAUAACUCUCAAAGAAAUAAGCUAACAUUUACUGAGCACUUACCUCUCACAGCCUCUGUUCUGGAUUCUGUGUGUACAUAUGAUCCUGAAUCCCCACAGCAACCCUUUCCUUCAGGUUUGAUUAUCUCUAUUUUACAGAUAUGGAAGAAACUCAAAUAACUUGCCUAAGAUCCCUACCAACUGAGUACUAGUACUAAUUGCAAAACUUGGGAUUUUUGAAGUGCAACAUAUGGUUUCCCUGCAACUGUUUCAUGAAUUAAUUACAGACUUCUUAGUGGAGUAAGAAAGGUGUAUCAAGAAAAUGAUUGAAUUUUGUCAAGUCAUUAAGGAAUCUUUUGUGGGCUACCAAAUGACUGUGGUUAGUUUUUUUUUUUUUUAAGGACAUCCAAAUGCAUUCAAAGAGCUAAGGUGACUUACUAACUGCAAUUAAUAGAAGAGUCCAAGGACUGAAUACCUUAAGAGAAUCCAGUUCUGAUGUAUGAGUUAACAUAUCUAGAUUAAAGGCUAGAUAUUAUAAUUCACAAAACUGACAGUAAUUAGAAAAUUGGCUUUUGUAUACAUUCCUAUUCCCAAAGCUAAUGUUUGUAUAAAGACUUUUAUCUUGAUUAGAGGUACUAGAAAUAAAAUAUUUGUGCAUCUUACUUCCUAGUUUCAAAUUCUAGCUGUUGAAUAUAUGAAGUUUUAUUUAUUCAGGGAAUUUCUUAAAACAUUUUCAAAACAUGUGUAAAACUUAAUUCAUUAAUUUAUUAUAGGAAAAUUAGGGAAUUCCCUGGGUCCAGUGGUUAGGACUCUGUGCUUCCACUGCAGAGGAACUAAGAUCCCACAAGCCACGUGGCACAGCCAAAAAGAAAAAAAAAAAAAAAAAAAAGGCAAAUUAGCCCUCAUUUGCUCUUUAGUAGGCCAUUAAUAGUUAUCUGAGUUGGCCUACCUCUCCAUGCUGGUUAUCACAAGGGCUGCCAGAGGAGGAAUGUGCCCAGUUGCUCCAAUAUAUUUGAUGACUGAAUGAAGAAUGAUGAAUAAAAGUAAAAGAUUGACCUCUGCAACAAUUAGUAAACAACUCAAGACAGCAUAUAAUUAAACCCUAAAUUGCAUGGUUGAGGCAGAAUUACAGGUGAGCCUGGUACAAUGCCAUUUAUUCCCUAUUCAAGUUGAGCUGGCUGGGACUGACUCGUCUCAUCCAGCACUGCCAACUCAGGUGUUCCUACUGGCCAUGUGUUCUUUAAGGACUCAUUUUUCAGAUGUCCUUGAGGCUGCCUGCAGACCAGGGUACUGUAAGGGGAGGAUGACAUAAAAAAGCAAGAUUGUGGGAUCAGUCUGGAUUUGGAUCCAGUCUUCAGCUGAGUCUGGAUACUCUAAAUCCCGCUUUCUUCAUCUGUGAAAAUUCAAAAUAAUAUACAUGAAGUCUCUCUCUUAGUAUAUGACUCUUAGUGGGUCAUCUGGUACAAGAAUACCAGUUGUUUACAGCUAGCACUUCUUCUGAUUGGUCAGUUCUAAUGACUUGACCAUUGUUUUACAAAUUUAUUUAAUGUAAUCCUUGGUGGGUGCUCUAUAAGUAGUGGUUAUAUUGAUAAAAUUUUGAGUCAGAAGUAAAACUGCUGCUGCUGCUGCUGCUAAGUCACUUCAGUAGUGUCCAACUCUGUGCGACCCCAUGGACUGCAGCCCACCAGGCUCCUCUGUCCAUGGGAUUUUGCAGGCAAGAGUACUGGAGUGGGUUGCCAUUGCCUUCUCCAAGAGGUAAAGCUAGGGCAGAGAAAUGGAGUAAUCCAGGGCCAUUUCCAUGAUCCAUGCUGCAUGCUUGAUUUUGCACACUCUUUAAAUCUCAAACAAAUGGAAUCUGUCUAUUGACCCAGAGUUUUAAGAGACUACAUUUUUCCAAGAUGUAAGAUCCUCUGAUAGAAGCACAGUCCCCAGUUAGUCCCACGUGAAACCCCUCUCUUAGUCAACUCCGUCUGUCCCUUCUUCCCCAUCCCCUUCACAUGUUAGGCUGAGAAAUUUGGAUCCUGGAGCUGCCCAGACUCCAGCUGUUUGAUAUUGUGAGGCUGAUGGCAGCAGAGGGCAGGGGGCAACAGGCUCCAGAUGAAAGCAAAAAUUCAAACAGAACGAGACCUCAGAGAUUUGAUACCAAACUCAGUGGGUAACAGCCUCUGUUAAAUUUGUUCAGUCAGCCAUUUAAGAGGGAAGGAGUUUCUCACACAUCCUGGAAGGGUAUUUAGUGAUGAGAUGCUUCCAAAGAAGGGGAUCAGUAUUUCAGGGACUGAGCAGAGCAGAAUCAAAUGUCAAAGCUGCCAGAGCAAGCUUAGAGACAGGUCAAGCAAGAACCCAGUUUCUGGAGGAUGCUUGAUGAGUUGGAACAAUUCCACCAUCCACAUUUUCUGCCAUUGGUCAACACACCCACAGGGUCAAGAAAAGACUAAGGAAUUGCUGCAGAUUAAGAAGACCAAGGAUACGUAAAAACUGCAUUCAAUGUGGGAUCCUGCACUGACUCCAGAGCAGAAAAAGGACAUUAGAGGAAGCACUGAUGAAAUCUAAAACAGUCCAUGGUUUAGUUAAUAGUACUGUAAUGAUGUUUCUUAGUUUUGAUUACUGAACUUGGUUGUUAAGGAUGAUAGCAAUAGAGAAAUCGAGUGGAGGACGUAAAGGAACUCACUGUACUGUUUUUGCAACUUUUAUAAAGUUACUUGAAUAAAAAGUUGAAAAAAAUGAAGGGGGUCCAUGCAGGUAAAAAGGAAGAGGUGGAUGAAAGAGAAAAGUGGGUACAGCAUGUCUGAAGUUCUCUGGCAGUGAAUGCACUGUAGGAAUGGAAGUAAGUUCAGAAUGGCUCAAUAGAGCGGGGAGGUGGGGAUUUUCUUCUUUUACAUCAUAAUGGAAAAAUCACAGUUUCUCAUUUUAAGUCACUCAUUUAAAAACUGGAGGACCAUUCAAGCGGCCAUGGGCUAGUCUUGGCUUUCACAAAUGUUCAGGCCUACUCUGGAGCUACAGACAGCACCUCCAGGACUUGCUCUAGAUGUUUCAAAAGAGUAUGUGAGUGCUUAGCCAGGGGCCAGAUUGGGGGUCACCUGGAGAGCCUGGGGACUUGUAUCUCACAGACCCCUCAGACAUAUUAAGUAGGGAAGUCAAAUCUUAGGGUUACUUAAGACAGCAUGGAAAGAACACAACGGGACUAGGGCUUUUGGUCCAAAUGUUAAAGGACAUCUAUUAUCACAGUGAAGCUGUCCAUGCCACUAGGAUUGCAUGGGUCGUCAUGGGGCCACAUCUUCCCCUGAGCUGAGCUCAACUGGGUCUUG
Molecule: long non-coding RNA, 4030 nt
Organism: Bubalus bubalis (water buffalo)
Lineage: Eukaryota; Metazoa; Chordata; Mammalia; Artiodactyla; Bovidae
Exons: 3
Source: RefSeq, a predicted model, not a curated record